GGCAAUGUGGCGGAGUGGUUAUCGCGAUAGACUAGAAUGAAGAUCGGGUUAACCAGCCCGCCAUUACUCAAAUCUAUUUCCUUCGGGAGCACAGGUUCGAGUCCUGUCAUUGUCG
Molecule: transfer RNA, 115 nt
Filed under: Venturia inaequalis
Lineage: Eukaryota; Fungi; Ascomycota; Dothideomycetes; Venturiales; Venturiaceae
Description: tRNA-Ser
Rfam family: tRNA
About the family: Transfer RNA (tRNA) molecules are approximately 80 nucleotides in length. Their secondary structure includes four short double-helical elements and three loops (D, anti-codon, and T loops).
Source: RNAcentral